GGGAAACGCCCGGUCCCAUUCCGAACCCGGAAGCUAAGCCCUUCAGCGCCGAUGGUACUGCACUCGACAGGGUGUGGGAGAGUAGGACACCGCCGAAC
This 98-nucleotide ribosomal RNA is filed under the name Rhodococcus qingshengii. The record is from RNAcentral. Lineage: Bacteria; Bacillati; Actinomycetota; Actinomycetes; Mycobacteriales; Nocardiaceae.